CCGGACGUGAUGACGCAUCCGCAGCUGAGCGCAGUGAUGGCUGUCGUGUUCGUACUGUCUGAUCUGG
This 67-nucleotide small nucleolar RNA is filed under the name Numida meleagris (helmeted guineafowl). Lineage: Eukaryota; Metazoa; Chordata; Aves; Galliformes; Numididae. The record is from RNAcentral.